This 497-nucleotide ribosomal RNA is filed under the name uncultured bacterium. Its description in RNAcentral is "partial 16S ribosomal RNA". It matches the Rfam family "Bacterial small subunit ribosomal RNA", at positions 28 to 507 of the family's 1533-position model. The record is from RNAcentral.
GAUGAACGCUGGCGGCGUGCCUAAUACAUGCAAGUCGAGCGAACAGACGAGGAGCUUGCUCCUUCGACGUUAGCGGCGGACGGGUGAGUAACACGUAGGUAACCUACCUAUAAGACUGGGAUAACUUCGGGAAACCGGAGCUAAUACCGGAUAAUAUUUCGAACCGCAUGGUUCGAUAGUGAAAGAUGGCUUUGCUAUCACUUAUAGAUGGACCUGCGCCGUAUUAGCUAGUUGGUAAGGUAACGGCUUACCAAGGCAACGAUACGUAGCCGACCUGAGAGGGUGAUCGGCCACACUGGAACUGAGACACGGUCCAGACUCCUACGGGAGGCAGCAGUAGGGAAUCUUCUGCAAUGGGCGAAAGCCUGACAGAGCAACGCCGCGUGAGUGAUGAAGGUCUUCGGAUCGUAAAACUCUGUUAUUAGGGAAGAACAAACGUGUAAGUAACUGUGCACGUCUUGACGGUACCUAAUCAGAAAGCCACGGCUAACUACGUG